UACCUUGUAAAGUACUUGAUGUCUGUGACCC
Molecule: non-coding RNA, 31 nt
Filed under: Homo sapiens (human)
Lineage: Eukaryota; Metazoa; Chordata; Mammalia; Primates; Hominidae
Source: RNAcentral